UAAGCAAUCUGAUUGGCUCACGUGACUGGCGCCCUCUUUGUUGGGGGCAAGGAAACUUCCGGUCGGUGCAGACCUGGCUUCCUCCGAUCUGAGUUUUUGACCUUCUCUGAAGAGCUUUUACAUUUCUGGCAAGGCAGGUCUACUGGCAACAAAUUCCAUCAACUUUUGUUUGUCUAAGAAAGUCUACUGCUCCUUCACUUUUGAAGAAUAAUUUCCAUGGAUACAGAAUUAUAGGUCAGUCACAUAAAUUUGUCAGGACAUACUGGAAAAAAAAGGACUAUCUCUUUGGUCAUAAAAGGAAACCACGCGCAGAGAAAGGGACUCACCUACAAGCUAUGACCAAAGGAUGGCAUUCCCGAAGGCCCAGGUGUCGCUCACCUUUCAGCUGAUGGUUCUCAAUGAGAAGCUCUCUCAUCUGCUGCAGCAGCUCAUGUGGGGUGAACGUGUCCAGGUUCGGGUGAGCCAGAUUGGGGGGUCCAUUUCCUGUGGUUUCGUUGGGGCUGUCCCCCUUUUCAGUCAGGCAGCUAACUGGCUGGUGGGACAUGGCAGCACUUU
This is a long non-coding RNA of Balaenoptera ricei (Rice's whale), 555 nucleotides long. RefSeq lists it as uncharacterized. Lineage: Eukaryota; Metazoa; Chordata; Mammalia; Artiodactyla; Balaenopteridae. The record is from RefSeq and is a predicted model, not a curated record. The transcript has 4 exons.